This 253-nucleotide ribosomal RNA is filed under the name uncultured bacterium. RNAcentral's name for it is "partial 16S ribosomal RNA". It matches the Rfam family "Bacterial small subunit ribosomal RNA", at positions 524 to 776 of the family's 1533-position model. The record is from RNAcentral.
GACGUAGGGGGCGAGCGUUGUCCGGAUUUAUUGGGCGUAAAGCGUGCGUAGGCGGCUGCGCAAGUCGGGUGUGAAACCCCGGGGCUCAACCCCGGAACUGCAUCCGAUACUGCGUGGCUAGAGGUAGGUAGGGGAGAUCGGAAUUCCUGGUGUAGCGGUGAAAUGCGCAGAUAUCAGGAGGAACACCGAUGGCGAAGGCAGUGUUCUGGGCCAGUACUGACGCUGAGGAGCGAAAGCGUGGGUAGCAAACAGG